GAGUAACCUGCCCUUAACUCUGGGAUAAGCCUGGGAAACUGGGUCUAAUACCGGAUAUGACUCCUCAUCGCAUGGUGGGGGGUGGAAAGCUUUUUUGUGGUUUUGGAUGGACUCGCGGCCUAUCAGCUUGUUGGUGAGGUAAUGGCUCACCAAGGCGACGACGGGUAGCCGGCCUGAGAGGGUGACCGGCCACACUGGGACUGAGACACGGCCCAGACUCCUACGGGAGGCAGCAGUGGGGAAUAUUGCACAAUGGGCGCAAGCCUGAUGCAGCGACGCCGCGUGAGGGAUGACGGCCUUCGGGUUGUAAACCUCUUUCAGUAGGGAAGAAGCGAAAGUGACGGUACCUGCAGAAGAAGCGCCGGCUAACUACGUGCCAGCAGCCGCGGUAAUACGUAGGGCGCAAGCGUUAUCCGGAAUUAUUGGGCGUAAAGAGCUCGUAGGCGGUUUGUCGCGUCUGCCGUGAAAGUCCGGGGCUCAACUCCGGAUCUGCGGUGGGUACGGGCAGACUAGAGUGAUGUAGGGGAGACUGGAAUUCCUGGUGUAGCGGUGAAAUGCGCAGAUAUCAGGAGGAACACCGAUGGCGAAGGCAGGUCUCUGGGCAUUAACUGACGCUGAGGAGCGAAAGCAUG
This 632-nucleotide ribosomal RNA is filed under the name Arthrobacter sp. 4AL.2. Its description in RNAcentral is "bacterial SSU rRNA". It matches the Rfam family "Bacterial small subunit ribosomal RNA", at positions 119 to 763 of the family's 1533-position model. Lineage: Bacteria; Bacillati; Actinomycetota; Actinomycetes; Micrococcales; Micrococcaceae. The record is from RNAcentral.